Molecule: transfer RNA, 73 nt
Filed under: Acrolejeunea fertilis
Lineage: Eukaryota; Viridiplantae; Streptophyta; Jungermanniopsida; Porellales; Lejeuneaceae
Description: partial tRNA-Phe
Source: RNAcentral
GCCGGGAUAGCUCAGUUGGUAGAGCAGGGGACUGAAAAUCCUCGUGUCACCAGUCAAAAAUAAUAAGUCCGUA